Long non-coding RNA from Pezoporus occidentalis (night parrot), 2630 nucleotides. RefSeq lists it as uncharacterized. Lineage: Eukaryota; Metazoa; Chordata; Aves; Psittaciformes; Psittacidae. The transcript has 2 exons. The record is from RefSeq and is a predicted model, not a curated record.
UUAGGUCUACCUAAUGAGUGGGAUAAUAAUUUUAUCUCACUAGAAAGUUUAUUUUGCUCACUUACAUGCUUUUACUUCCUGCUUUGAAGAUGCUGCUGGUGGUGUCUCAUUUGCAUAGUACGCAGCAAAUGAGUUUUACUAUUGAAAAGCCUGUCAUUAAUGCAGUAUGAAACUGGUACAAGCAAGAGAAGUUUCUCCUUUUUGGGUGCAUCUUAUGGUUUGUUACAGAGCUAUAGCUAUUUAAGGCCUUUUCUCACAGUUCUUUGGACUGGAUGAAGUUAUGUAAGAAAUGGCCCCAUCUCAUCUAAGAAAACCCAGACACAUGAAAGCAAGUGAAUAGAUGUCAGUCAUGUGUACAUUGGCCUAGAGACGAGAUAAAUGUUGAGAGUUUCUUCCAAAUCUUUCUCUCUUUAUGGCUUCUGAUAGUUCAGUGUUAACAGCCCUUGAUUCCUAUGAAAAAAUGAUUUGAUAUUAAUACUGGGCCAAUGGAAAACAUGUUUAUGUUUGGUAUCAUGUUAACAGUCUCGGAGGAAUGACUAUGCAUCUCCUUAGCUGAACCAAGCUUUGCUUAACCAGAGUUAAUUGACAGGUUUGCAUGGGGUUUUGCAGCUUCUCUGUGAUGGAUGUAGCUGCUGACAAACACAAGCAGUUCUGCGACAUGGAGCUGAGGUUGCUAGCUUACCCCUUGCUUUGCAGCAUGCUUCAUCUCAAGGCACUUGUUACUCAGGACGUGGGAGGUGCAAACUCCCCUUUUGGAAAUUUCUCAUUUCAAAUGGAUCUUGGGUUCAGUUUCCACAGGGAGAUGAAUGAAAGCUUUUGUAAUCACAAUGAAACGUUAAACAAAUUCUUAAGUUUUCCUAUAGCACACAGAGACCACAAAGCACAAUGGUGAUAUCAGUCUAUCUAUUUUAGCAUAAAGGAUCUGAGCAUAGCUUGAUAUGUGGGGUUUUGUCCAAGUUAGAUGUCUUUGUCACUUGCAGAGAACUUUAGCAAAAAAGAAGUCCUCUCCAGCAGCCAUAAAUCAUUAUUUUACAGGAAUUUGGUUUUGUUUACAAAUGCCUAUAAUCUCAAACAAGUGGUUUAUUAUAUCAUGAGAAACAUCAGUCACAGGAGAGUAACAGCAUCCUGAAUUGGUGGUUUGUAGCUCGAGAGCAAUGUACAACAAAGCCAAGGCAGACAUGAUCGGUCCACUUAAUCUUUGGGUUUUACUAGGAAUCAGAGGGUUUUUUUCAGUAAAUUGGUACCAUGUAGAUCUAUUUGAAUAAUCUUGCUGUUCACGAGAACAAGUGCCUUUUGUCUCAGCUGUAUGCUUAUAUUUAUAAAUGCUACAUGGUCACCUUUUCCUAAGCCUUUUCUGAACUGCUAAAAUAAUAAAACACAAGAAGUAUUAAUUUUUCUUACCUAGUGGCUGCAUUUUAUUGGUCUGUCAACUUCAAGGAAAGAAUUGUUGUCAGGUAAAGCCUGCAGAUCAAUUAGGUAGUGAUCACCCCUAUUUGCUGUAAAGAUUUCGUGCAUGUUAUUGCUGACCUGAAACAAAUUUCCUGGUGUUUUUCAUGGAUGAUAUGUGAAAGAAAGGAAGGCAGAGGAGAAGUAGGAGAAGGUAUUCUAGAAAUAAACCACUUUAUAGACAGCUAUGUAUCAAAAUCCAGCAAGGGACAUGCAUUCUUCUGGUGGAUAUUUUUGAUUUGUUAAGUCACUUGACCUCUCUUUGGUCACUUGGCAGAGACCAAAUAUAUUCAUGAAAUGACGGCUUCUGUGCACAAAUGAUUUACAAGCUUCUUUGCUUUCUCUCACCACCCUUCUUGAGACAAAAAACAGUUACAGCACUUAAAUAAUACCGAUUGCUUAGACUUAAGUGUUUCAGUUAGUGAAUGCACAAAACAAUCAUGUGAGAGUGCUAUAUAACCUGAAGAUGUGAGACUUGGGAACUUCAUCAAGGUAAUAUAGUUAAUAAUUCUUACAUUUUUUUUCUUUUUCCGGGAUUGAGAUAGGUUAUCUUUCAAUCCAGCUUAGUAAAAUCAAUCAUUCAUGAACUGCCUUUUGCCUCUACAGAAUCUUCACACAACAGUUGACCCUUUCAAUUGCCUCCACUAUUUUCUUUUGCAAAUGUUUCUCCAGCUGUUGCCCUGAUUUACCUACUUUUUAAUGGUUUGCUCUCAUCUCAGACUUGAGGCUUAUUUCAGUCCUUAGAAACCUUCUAAAGUGAUGAUCUUUCCACUCUCUCCAAAACAAACAUUAUUUAAAAGCACAACAUGCCUUAAGUAUAUGGCCAGACAAAUCCUUUUCUCAAGCUCACAUUCCUGUUUUAGGGACCUUAUUUUAUUUGUCCUGGCAAAAAUAGUUAAAAUUAGGUAGAAUAUGUACGCAUCCAUAAUUUCAAGGCUGAAACAAAAUUUCCUAAAGAUCUUUCCUAAAGAUCCUUGGGGGAAAAAAGGCUCUUCCUUAGGAAAAUGUCACUAAACAUUGCCAUUCUUUCUUUACAAGAUGAAUAUUCUGAAAGUAUUUUGCUCCAUUUCUUACCUACUCCAGAUUUUUUCAGCAUUCUUCAAACAGGUCUAGAAAGUCAAGGUACUUGCCUGAGAUUAUUUUUGUUGGAGCAGUCAAAAAAGGGCACUUAAGACUCAGAAAAA